UAAUGAAAUUUAUAAAAUGAUAAAAUAAUCAUUUAACUCUGAAAUUUCUUAUGAAGUAAGGGGUCAUCCAUAAUUUUCAACAUUUUCAGAAGAGUACAAAACAUACUCUUUUCUGUGACCCCUUCCUCCCCCGAAAGAAUACAUAAUAAAAUGUAAAUAAAAUGUUAAUUUGUGUCAUUUUGAGAUCAAAAUUUUAUGUUUUUCAUAAAAGAGUACUUAUGCUUACACACAACUCCCAUACAGCUGUUUGUUGUAUUUGUAUACUGUACAUGUAAUAAUUUACAUUUGUAGGUUCAACGUAGCAAGGAUACUCCAACAAUACCCUCAACUAUUGGAGAAGAGAAAAAAUACAAUCCAUUCAUGCGAGUAGGAGUUAAGUCUGUGCAAGAACAUGUUGGUCAGUCAGAUGGAAUUGCUACUAUGGGAGCACUAAGAACAGAAAAGGAUGGUUUCAAACCCAAAUCGGCAAUAUAGACAAGCGUACAUUUAUAUCAAUCAUGAAAAUAAUAACAAUAUUAGUAAUGUAUCAUAAUGAGUAACUAAUAAAGUUUUAAAUUAAGUGUAGAUAAGGUGGAUUAAAUUUUGGUUCAUAUUAAGCAAGUGACAAAAAUAUCAAGAAAGUGAAUCCUAGACAUGGGCGUGAUGGUAUAUUUCCAUUCUAUUCUAGGAUCUGGGCCCAAUUGUCCAAACCAGUUGGGCCUGAUUGUGACUGUUUAUCACUCAAUUUACAAAGACGAUUGAGCCCAAAAAGAUGAUCAAACUUUUUACUUACUUCAGCCAUAUCACUGACUUUUGCAACACCCUCUUUUUUCCUGAUUGGUUGCCAAAUUUGUAUUUUUGGAACCCUCUAUCUAUAGCCCAGACCAGUCCUGUUUGUGGCGUGGCCUACCUACAUAGAGGCCUAGGCUAUGCUACCUUGGCUAAGUAAAGAUAGCAUGCUAUGCUCAAUGAUUAACAGUUCUAGUGGAGAAAGAAAUACACAAGCUUAUUUUUUUGUUGGGGGGGGGGGGGUAGCAUAUUAAAAAAUGUUAACAUUUUAUGCCAGAGAAAAAUUGCACCCCAGGGAGGCUAUGCCUUUGCUGCGUAGGGUAAAAAAAGAAUGUAUUGUACUCGUUGAUGACGUCGCAAAUUGCGAAAUAACAACAAACAACAACCUUUCUGGUUUGAGCCUAGGCCGUCAUGGAAACUCACUGGUUCCUGUGUAAUUCAUGUUGUGCCAACUGCAGACGAAAAGGUUACAAUCUUUUCAGAGAUAACCUGGAAGAAAGUUCUAGAGAGCCCAACAAUGGAAGGAUUUUAAUACUGAAGAAUGGAAGUUAGCGAUGUCCUCGGCUUACACAAAAUACUUCAAUAACCAUGAUACAGUUAAGUUGUAUAUUAUAUGGCCUUAACAGUGAAGAGGUAGAUGCAAGCAACAGAUGCAACAUAUUAAAUCGAUUAUUAUUAUUUUUAUUAAUUAUAUAUAAACUCAUUAUUAUUACUUUUUAUUGUUAAAUUAUUGUUAUUAAAAUAUUAUUAUUGCUAUUAUUAUUGUGCAUGUUGUUAGGUAUAGGCUGACGUUACUACAAUAACUCAUUUUACUAGAACAAUUAUUAUACAGUAUUUGUUUAUUUACAUUUUUGUAAUCUUUGAAUGAUACAGACAGAUAAUUAUUAAAUAAAAAGUUAAUUGACACAUUUGAA
This is a long non-coding RNA of Anneissia japonica, 1682 nucleotides long. RefSeq lists it as uncharacterized. The transcript has 2 exons. The record is from RefSeq and is a predicted model, not a curated record. Lineage: Eukaryota; Metazoa; Echinodermata; Crinoidea; Comatulida; Comatulidae.